Triticum urartu is the source of this 125-nucleotide non-coding RNA. The record is from Rfam. NCBI's taxonomy places the organism in Eukaryota, Viridiplantae, Streptophyta, Magnoliopsida, Poales, Poaceae.
CUAGUACUCCCUCCAUCCGGAAUUACGUGUUAUCAAAGUAAAUGAAAAUGGAUCUAUCUAGAACUAAAAUACAUCUAGAUACAUCUAUUUCAAUGACAAGUAUUUCUGGACGGAGGGAAUACAAG